Molecule: ribosomal RNA, 343 nt
Filed under: uncultured Bacillota bacterium
Lineage: Bacteria; Bacillati; Bacillota
Description: bacterial SSU rRNA
Rfam family: Bacterial small subunit ribosomal RNA
Source: RNAcentral
AUUGAACGCUGGCGGCGUGCUUAACACAUGCAAGUCGAACGAGAAGCUUUCACAUGAUUUCUUCGGAUUGAUUAUGAGGGCUGAAAGUGGCGAACGGGUGAGUAACGCGUGGGUAACCAACCUUAAACUGGGGGACAACACAGGGAAACUUGUGCUAAUACCGCAUAUAUGCAGACGUGGCAUCAUGACUGCAGGAAAGGCUUCGGCCGGUUUAAGACGGACCCGCGUCCGAUUAGUUAGUUGGUAGGGUAACGGCCUACCAAGACUACGAUUGGUAGCCGGGCUGAGAGGCUGAACGGCCACAUUGGGACUGAGACACGGCCCAGACUCCUACGGGUGGCUG